CGCACAUUGCGCCCCGUGGUAUUCCGCGGGGCAUGCCUGUUCGAGCGUCAUUACACCACUCAAGCCUCGCUUGGUAUUGGGCGACGCGGUACGCCGCGCGCCUCAAAUCUUUCGGCUGGGUCUGAAUCGUCCCUCAGCGUUGUGGAAACUAUUCGCUAAAGGGUUCGCGUUCGGUCACGCCGUUAAACAAAACCAUUUUCAUUAAAGGUUGACCUCGGAUCAGGUAGGGAUACCCGCUGAACUUAA
Molecule: unclassified non-coding RNA, 246 nt
Filed under: Rachicladosporium cboliae
Lineage: Eukaryota; Fungi; Ascomycota; Dothideomycetes; Cladosporiales; Cladosporiaceae
Description: partial contains 5.8S ribosomal RNA, internal transcribed spacer 2, and large subunit ribosomal RNA
Source: RNAcentral